UACGGAGGAUGCAAGCGUUAUCCGGAAUUAUUGGGCGUAAAGCGUCCGCAGGUGGUUUUGCAAGUUUGCUGUCAAAGCGCGGAGCUUAACUUCGUACGGGCAGUGAAAACUGCAAGACUAGAGUUUGGUAGGGGUCACGGGAAUUCCCAGUGUAGCGGUGAAAUGCGUAGAGAUUGGGAAGAACACCAGCGGCGAAAGCGCGUGACUGGACCUGAACUGACACUCAUGGACGAAAGCUAGGGGAGCGAAAGGG
Molecule: ribosomal RNA, 253 nt
Filed under: uncultured bacterium
Lineage: Bacteria
Description: partial 16S ribosomal RNA
Rfam family: Bacterial small subunit ribosomal RNA
Source: RNAcentral